AGUCGUAACAAGGUAUCCGUAGGUGAACCUGCGGAUGGAUCAUUACCAAAGGAUUCAAUUCCCAACGUAUUGUGAACUGUUUUGAACUUACAGUCAGUGUUUCUUGUGAUUACGGUAGAGAGCGUGUUUCGCGCUCCUACUGUAGGAUCAGUGAGCACUGGCUGUACCCUUAAACACGUAUCUUUAUAAUUACUGAAGUAUGUUUUAGACAUAAACUCUAAGACAACUUUUAGCAACGGAUCUCUUGGCUCUC
This 253-nucleotide unclassified non-coding RNA is filed under the name fungal sp. RNAcentral's name for it is "partial internal transcribed spacer region". The stretch from base 1 to 45 matches the Rfam family "Eukaryotic small subunit ribosomal RNA", at positions 1787 to 1831 of the family's 1831-position model. The record is from RNAcentral. Lineage: Eukaryota; Fungi.